UACAGAGAGUGCGAACGUUGUUCGGAAUUACUGGGCGUAAAGGGCGCGUAGGCGGCCUUCUAAGUCAGACGUGAAAUCCCCAGGCUUAACUUGGGAACUGCGUCUGAUACUGGAGGGCUUGAGUGCGGGAGAGGGAUGUGGAAUUCCAGGUGUAGCGGUGAAAUGCGCAGAUAUCGGGAGGAACACCUAUGGCGAAGGCAGCUCGCUGGGACGUUACUGACGCUGAGACGCGAAAGCGUGGGGAGCAAACAGG
This 253-nucleotide ribosomal RNA is filed under the name uncultured bacterium. RNAcentral describes it as "partial 16S ribosomal RNA". It matches the Rfam family "Bacterial small subunit ribosomal RNA", at positions 524 to 776 of the family's 1533-position model. The record is from RNAcentral.